GGUUCUUUGGCAGGGUGUACGGUUCCAUGAAGAACCUUUAAAAUCCAAAGAACCUUACCAUUGCACAUAAGGUUCUUUGUAGUACAGAAAGGUUCUUUAUAGCACAGAAAAGUUCUUUAUAGCACAGAAAGGUUCUUUAGACUAUUUAAUGGUUCUUCACACUCAUCAUGUUGUAAAUAAUUUUGUUUCUGGAAAGUGAUAUCUAGUUAGCUAAAUUGUCCUGUCUGGUCUAGAACUCAUUCCAGGCUCAUUUUCUAUUAGUUGCAUUCAAUUGUAGUGUAAUAAAAAGUAUUAAUUUUGAGAUGUAUAAAUAGUAUUGUUUUGUUUAUUAAUUAAAAUAGACCAGUAGAUCCUUUUAUAUCUAUUAUCUAUUUUAAUGCUGUUUUGCAUGACUCAAAAAAUUAUUAGGCUUGGUAUUUAAGUUAUAUACUGCAAUCAUGUUUUAAAAUGUUUAAUAAAGUUUAAUAAAGAUUUAAUGUGAUUUUAAGUUGUUUACGUAGUGUUCUAAUUCUAGAGGUUUAUUUAUGCAAAUGCUGCGUGACUUUGACAUGUUUUAAUGGGCGUGAGCGCUGAAUACUGGAGUCUCAUUUAAACGCUAGAGUGGAGGGAGUUGUCAUGGAAACGAGCCGACAACACCAACUGAUACACUGUAAAUCUCCAUCUCUAGCUGCUGUUUUCACUGCUUUCAUGAGUGAUAAUAUAAUUUCUCUACAUCAGAAGAGAAGCUCUAAAAUUUCUAAGUUUCUGAAAGGAGCUGCUGACAGAAAUGCAGGAAACACGGGAUCCUGUGUACCCAGCCUCAACCAUUCAUCAAAAGGACUGUGAAGGCAGGAAUUCUUUGAACCACCAGUGGCAGUUUCCACGGGAUGAAAACGGGCAUACUAGUGGAUGAUGGGGGUACUGAUAUUAACUUGUUGUAUUCACUGUAUUACACAUUUUUGUCAGUUUUUCAUUUCAAGUACUGGUGGUUUUGAUUUUGUCUGGAUGACAUGCUGUCCUAAUACUAACUAGUCAGAUCUCAGGUACCACCUAAAAUGCUGCCAAAACCAAACAGAAAAAUAGAAAUAUAUAAAGUCAGGUUAUCAUCAAGUACUCAGACUUGACAGUGAUGACUGAUCAUGAAACUAAUGAUUGCAGUGAUUUAAAAGAAUUAUCAAUCAUUGCAGUCAAGUCUGAGUACUCUAGUACUUGUGCACAUCCCUAUUAAAAACAAAUACACGGCAGUGAGGUAUGAUGUAAUGUAUACUGCAUUGAUGUAUACUGUAAAUGCAAUAAAUAUUUUAAUCAUACAUCUUGUCA
Molecule: long non-coding RNA, 1299 nt
Organism: Cyprinus carpio (common carp)
Lineage: Eukaryota; Metazoa; Chordata; Actinopteri; Cypriniformes; Cyprinidae
Source: Ensembl